UACGUAGGGUGCAAGCGUUAUCCGGAUUCACUGGGUUUAAAGGGUGCGUAGGAGGGCAGGUAAGUCAGUGGUGAAAUCUACGGGCUUAACUCGGAAACUGCCGUUGAUACUCUCUGUCUUGAAUCCCGUGGAGGUGAGCGGAAUAUGUCAUGUAGCGGUGAAAUGCUUAGAUAUGACAUAGAACACCAAUUGCGAAGGCAGCUCGCUGCACGAAGAUUGACUCUGAGGCACGAAAGCCAGGGGAGCAAACGGG
Molecule: ribosomal RNA, 253 nt
Filed under: uncultured bacterium
Lineage: Bacteria
Description: partial 16S ribosomal RNA
Rfam family: Bacterial small subunit ribosomal RNA
Source: RNAcentral